AUGAGUGCUGCAGAGGACAUCCCAUCCUCCUCACCCACAGCACUGCUGCCCUCCCAGCAUUCCCCCAAGACUCCUGAGAUUCCUGGGACUGCUGUUGUCUGGAAGGGAAGUUCCUGCAGAUCCCUAGCAAGCUGGCCCACCACCACCAUUCCCAGAGUCAGAGUAAAUUUUCUUGGAGGCAAAGCACCAUUCCCAACGCAGACAGCACCAUUCCCAAGGCAGCCGUGCAGAGGGAGCAGCUUGGCCACACGGUGGAGCGUUCGGAUCUCUGCAGGGAAAACCCAAACGCUGCUGCCUGCCAGGAGCCUCCAGCAGAGAGGGAUGUUGCAGGCUCACCUUGGGCAGUGCUCGACUUAGACCACACAGAAGGGACAGGCUAAGGACCAGCAGAGAUGCAGGAACUUUACUUAAUAAAUUUCUAAUAUAUCCUCCUUAACA
RNAcentral lists this long non-coding RNA (438 nucleotides) under Zonotrichia albicollis (white-throated sparrow). RNAcentral describes it as "lncRNA (ENSZALG00000001251.1)". Lineage: Eukaryota; Metazoa; Chordata; Aves; Passeriformes; Passerellidae. The record is from RNAcentral.